AAGUCGUAACAAGGUUUCCGUAGGUGAACCUGCGGAAGGAUCAUUAGCGUAGUUGUUUGAUGUCGUCGUCGCGGUGCGAGGUGAAGGUGUGCGGUUUAACGACUGCGCGCUGGAUCUUCUACCGUGCGCGCAUCAUACACACACAACAUCACCUUGUGAACCCGGAUCAGUGUGCUCGGCACGACUGGAGGUCGAUCGCGUUCGCCCAUUAAACCGGGUGUGCGUGCCGGCCACCAGUCUGUCGUCUUAAACAUUUGACAUUUUAUUAUUAAUACUUCAUUGUAAUGCGUCGAGGUGACUCGUCGUGUAAUUAUUCUGAACCAUACACACAACUUUUAACAAUGGAUCUCUAGGCUCCU
Molecule: unclassified non-coding RNA, 359 nt
Filed under: fungal sp.
Lineage: Eukaryota; Fungi
Description: partial internal transcribed spacer region
Rfam family: Eukaryotic small subunit ribosomal RNA (bases 1-46)
Source: RNAcentral